CCUACGGGAGGCAGCAGUGGGGGAUAUUGCACAAUGGGGGAAACCCUGAUGCAGCGACGCCGCGUGGGCGAAGAAGUAUUUCGGUAUGUAAAGCUCUAUCAGCAGGGAAGAAGAAACGACGGUACCUGAGUAAGAAGCACCGGCUAAAUACGUGCCAGCAGCCGCGGUAAUACGGAUGGUGCAAGCGUUAUCCGGAUUUACUGGGUGUAAAGGGAGCGCAGGCGGCACGGCAAGCCUGAUGUGAAAGCCCGCGGCCCAACCGCGGAACUGCAUUGGGAAUUAUCGGGCUAGAGUGUCGGAGAGGUAGGCGGAAUGCCUGGUGUAGCGGUGAAAUGCGUAGAUAUUAGAAGGAACACCGAUGGCGAAGGCAGCCUAC
RNAcentral lists this ribosomal RNA (376 nucleotides) under uncultured bacterium. Its description in RNAcentral is "partial 16S ribosomal RNA". It matches the Rfam family "Bacterial small subunit ribosomal RNA", at positions 338 to 729 of the family's 1533-position model. The record is from RNAcentral.